AGUGAACGCUGGCGGCAGGCCUAACACAUGCAAGUCGAGCGGCAGCACAGUAAGAGCUCGCUCUUACAGCUGCGGACUGGUGAGGAGUUCAUGGAAAUCUCCCUAUUUGUGGUUUCUAACGUGAGGACGCUGGCGCUCAUACCGCAUACGUCCUUACGGCGUACGGGUGGGAGCACGGGACCUCACGCCCUUACGUGAGCCGACGACGGAUUAGCUAGUUGGUGGGGUAAAGGCCUACCAAGGCGACGAUCCGUAGCUGGUCUGAGAGGAUGAUCAGCCACACUGGAACUGAGACACGGUCCAGACUCCUACGGGAGGCAGCAGUGGGGAAUAUUGGACAAUGGGCGCAAGCCUGAUCCAGCCAUGCCGCGUGUGUGAAGAAGGCCUUCGGGUUGUAAAGCACUUUUGUUGGGAAAGAAAAGCAGCAGGUUAAUACCCCGCUGUUCUGACGGUACCCAAAGAAUAAGCACCGGCUAACUUCGUG
This 484-nucleotide ribosomal RNA is filed under the name uncultured bacterium. RNAcentral describes it as "partial 16S ribosomal RNA". It matches the Rfam family "Bacterial small subunit ribosomal RNA", at positions 29 to 507 of the family's 1533-position model. The record is from RNAcentral.